Small nucleolar RNA from Asterias rubens (European starfish), 232 nucleotides. RefSeq annotates it as small nucleolar RNA SNORA73 family. The record is from RefSeq and is a predicted model, not a curated record. NCBI's taxonomy places the organism in Eukaryota, Metazoa, Echinodermata, Asteroidea, Forcipulatida, Asteriidae. The transcript has a single exon.
CCAACGAUGGUAUCCAGGUGACUUAACACUUCACUUGGCUCUGCCAGUGUGGCGUACGGGAGCUGAACCGCUAUGGUUGUGAGGUACAUUCCCCUUCCACGACGUUGAAGAUCAAUUCCUGUCCCCGAUGUUUUUUCAACAGUUGUGUGGACGGGAUUCUUGCAUAUUCCUGCGUCCUCUUGGAGUCACUCUGUGGCAGUUACUGAGAGGGUAAACCAUGCAAGGAACAUUU